GUAGGUGGCAAGCGUUGUCCGGAAUUAUUGGGCGUAAAGCGCGCGCAGGCGGUUCUUUAAGUCUGAUGUGAAAGCCCACGGCUCAACCGUGGAGGGUCAUUGGAAACUGGAGAACUUGAGUACAGAAGAGGGAAAGCGGAAUCCCACGUGUAGCGGUGAAAUGCGUAGAGAUGUGGAGGAACACCAGUGGCGAAGGCGGCUUUCUGGUCUGUAACUGACGCUGAGGCGCGAAAGCGUGGGGAGCAAACAGGGAUUAGAUACCCUGGUAGUCCACGCCGUAAACGAUGAGUGCUAAGUGUUAGGGGGUUUCCCGCCCCUUAGUGCUGCAGCUAACGCAUUAAGCACUCCGCCUGGGGAGUACGGCCCGCAAGGCUG
Molecule: ribosomal RNA, 375 nt
Filed under: uncultured organism
Description: partial 16S ribosomal RNA
Rfam family: Bacterial small subunit ribosomal RNA
Source: RNAcentral